This 286-nucleotide long non-coding RNA is filed under the name Brassica napus (rape). RNAcentral describes it as "long non-coding RNA (BNAP_LNC011298)". The record is from RNAcentral. Lineage: Eukaryota; Viridiplantae; Streptophyta; Magnoliopsida; Brassicales; Brassicaceae.
UGUACUUAGGCGGUUGGCCUAAGGUACCUGGAUUUAUUUCGGGAACUUUGGGUUAGUCGUUUAUGUACACAUUGUGGCUUCUCGGUUUGGUUUCAGUUACGAGUGAUCGGCUGUGCAUGUUAUUGUUUGAUUGUUGCACGGCUGGUCGAGUCAACUUAUACUUAGACCAGAUCAGGGGUGUCACAAAGGUCCUCGAGAUCACUCCUAGAAAAGUGGAGAAAAAGAUCUCCAACGAAGAUACGCGAAGUCAGGAUUCAGCGGAACUCUUCUGGCAGUCUCGUAACAU